RNAcentral lists this ribosomal RNA (465 nucleotides) under Vreelandella stevensii. RNAcentral describes it as "partial 16S ribosomal RNA". It matches the Rfam family "Bacterial small subunit ribosomal RNA", at positions 338 to 795 of the family's 1533-position model. The record is from RNAcentral. Lineage: Bacteria; Pseudomonadati; Pseudomonadota; Gammaproteobacteria; Oceanospirillales; Halomonadaceae.
CCUACGGGGGGCAGCAGUGGGGAAUAUUGGACAAUGGGGGCAACCCUGAUCCAGCCAUGCCGCGUGUGUGAAGAAGGCCCUCGGGUUGUAAAGCACUUUCAGUGAGGAAGAACGCCUGGUGGUUAAUACCCAUCAGGAAAGACAUCACUCACAGAAGAAGCACCGGCUAACUCCGUGCCAGCAGCCGCGGUAAUACGGAGGGUGCGAGCGUUAAUCGGAAUUACUGGGCGUAAAGCGCGCGUAGGUGGCUUGAUAAGCCGGUUGUGAAAGCCCCGGGCUCAACCUGGGAACGGCAUCCGGAAGGGUGAAGAAAGAGUGCAGGAGAGGAAGGUAGAAUGCCCUGGGGAGCGGUGAAAUGCGGCGAGAACGGGAGUAAAACCAGUGGCUAAGGAGGACCCAUGGACUGACACUGACACUGAUGUUCGAAAGCGUGGGUAGCAAAGAGAGAUAGACAGCCCGGAGGUC